UGCGGGGUGGAGCAGCUCGGUAGCUCGUCGGGCUCAUAACCCGAAGGUCGUUGGUUCAAAUCCAGCCCCCGCUACCA
This 77-nucleotide transfer RNA is filed under the name Gammaproteobacteria bacterium. Its description in RNAcentral is "tRNA-Met". It matches the Rfam family "tRNA". From Rfam's summary of the family: Transfer RNA (tRNA) molecules are approximately 80 nucleotides in length. Their secondary structure includes four short double-helical elements and three loops (D, anti-codon, and T loops). RNAcentral also lists the same sequence under 1 other name. Lineage: Bacteria; Pseudomonadati; Pseudomonadota; Gammaproteobacteria. The record is from RNAcentral.